AUGAACGCUAGCGGGAGGCCUAACACAUGCCAGCCGAGCGGUAUUGUUUCUUCGGAAAUGAGAGAGCGGCGUACGGGUGCGUAACACGUGUGCAACCUGCCUUUAUCUGGGGGAUAGCCUUUCGAAAGGAAGAUUAAUACUCCAUAAUAUAUUGAACGGCAUCGUUUAAUAUUGAAAGCUCCGGCGGAUAGAGAUGGGCACGCGCAAGAUUAGCUAGUUGGUGAGGUAACGGCUCACCAAGGCGAUGAUCUUUAGGGGGCCUGAGAGGGUGAUCCCCCACACUGGUACUGAGACACGGACCAGACUCCUACGGGAGGCAGCAGUGAGGAAUAUUGGUCAAUGGGUGCAAGCCUGAACCAGCCAUCCCGCGUGAAGGACGACUGCCCUAUGGGUUGUAAACUUCUUUUGUAUAGGGAUAAACCUACCCUCGAGAGGGUAGCUGAAGGUACUAUACGAAUAAGCACCGGCUAACUCCGUG
Molecule: ribosomal RNA, 478 nt
Filed under: uncultured bacterium
Lineage: Bacteria
Description: partial 16S ribosomal RNA
Rfam family: Bacterial small subunit ribosomal RNA
Source: RNAcentral